This 342-nucleotide long non-coding RNA is filed under the name Homo sapiens (human). Its description in RNAcentral is "non-protein coding lnc-MGAM2-6:1". Lineage: Eukaryota; Metazoa; Chordata; Mammalia; Primates; Hominidae. The record is from RNAcentral.
UUCUUGGGAGGCCUCAGGAAACUUAUAAUCAUGGUAGAAGGGAAAGCAACAAUUCAAUCACCUCCCACCAGGCCCCACCUCCAAUACUGGGAAUUACAAUUCGACAUGAGACUUGGGUGGGGACACACAGCCAAACCACAUCAAUAACCUUUCACAUUUUCUCAAUAUAAUAGUUUGGCCCUAUGUCCACCUUCUUAACAGCUAGUUUCAAGAGAAAGUUAAUCAAUGCCGACAGGGACCAUUCUUGAAAAGACGUGGUACAAGACAGUAUAUUUUUAUUUAGAUACUGUGUUUUGGCAUAGAAAGAAGGUAAAGUUGAUGAAUAGGAUAUGGAACAUGAAG